GAUGAACGCUGGCGGCGUGCUUAACACAUGCAAGUCGAACGAAGCACUUUCACAGAUUUCUUCGGAAUGAAGUUUUAGUGACUGAGUGGCGGACGGGUGAGUAACGCGUGGGUAACCUGCCUCACACAGGGGGAUAACAGUUGGAAACGGCUGCUAAUACCGCAUAAGCGCACAGUACCGCAUGGUACAGUGUGAAAAACUCCGGUGGUGUGAGAUGGACCCGCGUCUGAUUAGCUAGUUGGCAGGGCAACGGCCUACCAAGGCGACGAUCAGUAGCCGACCUGAGAGGGUGACCGGCCACAUUGGGACUGAGACACGGCCCAAACGCCUACGGGAGGCAGCAGUGGGGAAUAUUGCACAAUGGGGGAAACCCUGAUGCAGCGACGCCGCGUGAGCGAAGAAGUAUUUCGGUAUGUAAAGCUCUAUCAGCAGGGAAGAAGAAAUGACGGUACCUGACUAAGAAGCACCGGCUAAAUACGUGCCAGCCGCCGCGGUAA
Molecule: ribosomal RNA, 497 nt
Filed under: uncultured bacterium
Lineage: Bacteria
Description: partial 16S ribosomal RNA
Rfam family: Bacterial small subunit ribosomal RNA
Source: RNAcentral